AGUGAACGCUGGCGGUAGGCCUAACACAUGCAAGUCGAACGGCAGCACAGGAGAGCUUGCUCUCUGGGUGGCGAGUGGCGGACGGGUGAGGAAUACCUCGGAAUCUACUUUUUCGUGGGGGAUAACGUAGGGAAACUUACGCUAAUACCGCAUACGACCUACGGGUGAAAGCAGGGGAUCGUCGGACCUUGCGCGAUUGACUGAGCAGAUGUCGGAUUAGCGAGUUGGCGGGGUAAAGGCCAACCUAGGCGACGAUCCGUAGCUGGUCUGAGAGGAUGAUCAGCCACACUGGAACUGAGACACGGUCCAGACUCCUACGGGAGGCAGCAGUGGGGAAUAUUGGACAAUGGGCGCAAGCCUGAUCCAGCCAUACCGCGUGGGUGAAGAAGGCCUUCGGGUUGUAAAGCCCUUUUGUUGGGAAAGAAAUCCAGCUGGUUAAUACCCGGUUGGGAUGACGGUACCCAAAGAAUAAGCACCGGCUAACUUCGUGCCAGCCGCCGCAGUAA
Molecule: ribosomal RNA, 506 nt
Filed under: uncultured bacterium
Lineage: Bacteria
Description: partial 16S ribosomal RNA
Rfam family: Bacterial small subunit ribosomal RNA
Source: RNAcentral